Long non-coding RNA from Macadamia integrifolia, 436 nucleotides. RefSeq lists it as uncharacterized. The transcript has 2 exons. The record is from RefSeq and is a predicted model, not a curated record. Lineage: Eukaryota; Viridiplantae; Streptophyta; Magnoliopsida; Proteales; Proteaceae.
UGAAGGCUACCAGCUCCAACGAUUUGACAAACUCAAUUAAUGGCUGCUGUUGUUGCUUCUUCUACUGAGAUUUGGUCUUGUGUCUAAUCAAGGCUGUAGAGCUGGUGUGUGAUGAAGCUAACUCUCUGCGGCGUGAAGCCUGAGAGGUCCUCUCUUUGAUUUUAUCUUCUUCUCCAAGCUGUCAAAGGAUCUAUUGCUGCUCCUCCUUCAAACCAGGAGUAUUUAGCUCAAAAUGGUAGAGCACCUAGGGUAAUGCCCAGGUUAUGGUGGUUCGAAUACACCAAGACUCUGAACAAAAUACCAAAAGGGUUUUAACUUAUUAUAUCUUGUUCUUGACAUUUAGUGAUUCUUGGAUUUUUGGGAUUAAUUUUUUAUUCGUUUGGUCACCUUGGUUUUUCUCAGUUUUUCAUUAUAUAUGUGGAACAGAUUAUAGCUG